Molecule: ribosomal RNA, 254 nt
Filed under: uncultured bacterium
Lineage: Bacteria
Description: partial 16S ribosomal RNA
Rfam family: Bacterial small subunit ribosomal RNA
Source: RNAcentral
UACGUAGGGCGCAAGCGUUGUCCGGAAUUAUUGGGCGUAAAGAGCUCGUAGGCGGUUUGUCGCGUCUGCUGUGAAAUCCUCAGGCUCAACUUGGGGCGUGCAGUGGGUACGGGCAGACUAGAGUGCGGUAGGGGAGACUGGAAUUCCUGGUGUAGCGGUGGAAUGCGCAGAUAUCAGGAGGAACACCGGUGGCGAAGGCGGGUCUCUGGGCAGUAACUGACGCUGGAGGAGCGAAAGCGUGGGGAGCGAACAGG